RNAcentral lists this long non-coding RNA (1091 nucleotides) under Parus major (Great Tit). RNAcentral's name for it is "lncRNA (ENSPMJG00000009339.1)". The record is from RNAcentral. Lineage: Eukaryota; Metazoa; Chordata; Aves; Passeriformes; Paridae.
AUCAUGCUCAAACAAUGUGUUUGAAAGACUAGAGAGUGUAAGCAGGAAGAGGGAUAAUGGUCAGCCCUACUUGCUAUCUAUUUUUUGCUGAUUAUCUGUGUUAUUCAUUCCUAAAUGAUGUUACCUAUCACCAUAGUGUGUAUUGAAUGUACACCACGUCGAAUAUGGCAUAAUUAUACAAUCAUCAUUUAACACUUUCAUUAGGGCUUGAUUUAUACAAAAUGUUAUUUUUUUUUCAGUAUCCUGAAAGCAUGUUUGUCUCCAUUUUUAUUGAAGAAGAUGAUUUGUAGCAAGAUCUAUUAAUUUAAUGUCAUCAAUGCAUUUUAAUCUCUUCUCCCAUUUAUCCGCCUAUCAAUAAUUACUUCCUUCAAAAUGUGGUCAAAAACCCCACAUAUGAUGUCAAAAGGAUUCACUAGCUUGUUUUGGUGGCUAGCUUCUUCAGCUAAUGGAUGACACAGAGAAAUACCUGAAUCUAUCCUGUGUCUGUGAGCACCAAAUUCCUAGAUUGCAAGACCAGCCUAAUUCUUUGCUCUGCUGGAAGUCAUCUUAAGAGGCUGCUUGACGUGGGCCUCAGGAAUGCCUUGUGGAACUUCUGCACUCAGCUCUUACUCCAUCAUCACCGCCUUGCAGAGAGCGGUGGAUGGCUGCAUCUGGGAGUCCAUCUAAGUGAGGGGCUGGUUCACUUUGAACACUGGUGUGGAGCAAGGCUACACUUACUUUCUGGAGCUCUUUAGCAUUAUCAUUCGUAACUACUGUGUAGGCAGCACGAGCAGCAGCAUUCUGUGGGGUGGAUUGCACAUAUCUUGGAAGCGUAAAUUGUGCUAGUAGCACUGCGUUACUGAGCCAUAGACCUGAAAAAACCUGUGAAGAUACAUAACCUAGCAAAAGCAGUAAGCCAGACAGGAUUUAAAAUCAGUUAUCAAAGCAAACAUCCCUGAAAGCUUAAUACCAAGCAUCAAAGUCAUGCUAGAAAACACAAAUUCUGGGAAAGCAGAGCUUGCCAGUCCUGUCCAUAUCCCACUUCUGACUAAUUAGGAAAGAACUGACAGUAAAAAUAGGAAAGUCUUGCACCACUCAUUUCAGCAUAUGUA